RNAcentral lists this unclassified non-coding RNA (570 nucleotides) under Onthophagus taurus. RNAcentral's name for it is "tHAP domain-containing protein 1-like, transcript variant X2". The record is from RNAcentral. Lineage: Eukaryota; Metazoa; Arthropoda; Insecta; Coleoptera; Scarabaeidae.
AACAUAUAGGUGUUAACGUGUUGUUUAAGUGAAUAAAGAUUGCAUUAAAUACAUUUUUUUAUAAACUUUUUAAUAUUGUGUUUAAAUUAGUGUAUUAUAUAAAUCUAUAAAGAUGGUAAAUUCUUGUUCUGCAUACGGAUGUACAAAUAGACAAUCAACAGGAAGUGAUUUCCAUUAAAUAAGCCUGGAGUUUUAAAAAAAUGGAUAAAGGAAGUACGCAGGAAAAAUUUUAAGCCAACAGAUUAUCAAAUACGACCAGGUGCCAGCAAGGGAUGGCUAAAAGAAGAUGCAUUUCCUUCAGUGUUUAAAGGAUUUCCAAAUCACCUUCAAAAACCUCCUCCAUCCAAAAGACGUUUAUUGUCUAGAGUAAUUGAGAAAGAGAAAAAGGCUGAUGAUAUUGAGAACAUGCCAAGUACAAGUACUACACCCGACUUAUCUGAGAUAUCUGAACAGAAUGCAAUGCAAUGUGAUGUGGGUAUUCAGUGUAUUAUUCAGUCACCAACUAAGAUAAAAUUGAGACGAAAAAUUAAGAUCUUGCAGCAACAAGUAAAACGUCGGGAUGUACGAAUC